This 255-nucleotide ribosomal RNA is filed under the name uncultured Phormidium sp. Its description in RNAcentral is "partial 16S ribosomal RNA". It matches the Rfam family "Bacterial small subunit ribosomal RNA", at positions 82 to 353 of the family's 1533-position model. The record is from RNAcentral. Lineage: Bacteria; Bacillati; Cyanobacteriota; Cyanophyceae; Oscillatoriales; Oscillatoriaceae.
CCUUUCGGGGAUAGUGGCGGACGGGUGAGUAACGCGUGAGAAUCUGCCUUUAGGACGGGGACAACAGUUGGAAACGGCUGCUAAAACCCGAUGUGCCCUUCGGGGUGAAAUAUUUAUAGCCUGAAGAUGAGCUCGCGUCUGAUUAGCUAGUAGGUGAGGUAAAGGCUCACCUAGGCGACGAUCAGUAACUGGUCUGAGAGGAUGACCAGUCACACUGGGACUGAGACACGGCCCAGACUCCUACGGGAGGCAGCA